This 253-nucleotide ribosomal RNA is filed under the name uncultured bacterium. RNAcentral's name for it is "partial 16S ribosomal RNA". It matches the Rfam family "Bacterial small subunit ribosomal RNA", at positions 524 to 776 of the family's 1533-position model. The record is from RNAcentral.
UACGGAGGGGGCUAGCGUUGUUCGGAAUUACUGGGCGUAAAGCGCGCGUAGGCGGCUUUGUAAGUUAGAGGUGAAAGCCCGAAGCUCAACUUCGGAAUUGCCUUUAAGACUGCAUCGCUAGAAUCGUGGAGAGGUAAGUGGAAUUCCGAGUGUAGAGGUGAAAUUCGUAGAUAUUCGGAAGAACACCAGUGGCGAAGGCGACUUACUGGACACGUAUUGACGCUGAGGUGCGAAAGCGUGGGGAGCAAACAGG